AGCAUAUCAAUAAGCGGAGGAAAAGAAACCAACCGGGAUUGCCCUAGUAACGGCGAGUGAAGCGGCAAGAGCUCAAAUUUGAAAGCUGGCUCCUUCGGGGUCCGCAUUGUAAUUUGCAGAGGAUGCUUCGGGAGCGGUCCCCAUCUAAGUGCCCUGGAACGGGCCGUCAUAGAGGGUGAGAAUCCCGUAUGGGAUGGGGUGCCCGCGCCCGUGUGAAGCUCCUUCGACGAGUCGAGUUGUUUGGGAAUGCAGCUCUAAUUGGGUGGUAAAUUUCAUCUAAAGCUAAAUAUUGGCCGGAGACCGAUAGCGCACAAGUAGAGUGAUCGAAAGAUGAAAAGCACUUUGAAAAGAGAGUUAAACAGCACGUGAAAUUGUUGAAAGGGAAGCGCUUGCGAUCAGACUCGCUCGCGGGGUUCAGCCGGCCUUCGGGCCGGUGUACUUCCCCGCGGGCGGGCCAGCGUCGGUUUGGGCGGCCGGUCAAAGGCCCCUGGAAUGUAACGCCUCUCGGGGCGUCUUAUAGCCAGGGGUGCCAUGCGGCCUGCCCGGACCGAGGAACGCGCUUCGGCUCGGACGCUGGCAUAAUGGUCGUAAGCGACCCGUCUUGAAACACGGACCAAGGAGUCUAACAUCUACGCGAGUGUUCGGGUGUCAAACCCGUGCGCGCAGUGAAAGCGAACGGAGGUGGGAACCCCUCGGGGUGCACCAUCGACCGAUCCUGAUGUCUUCGGAUGGAUUUGAGUAAGAGCGUAGCUGUUGGGACCCGAAAGAUGGUGAACUAUGCCUGAAUAGGGCGAAGCCAGAGGAAACUCUGGUGGAGGCUCGCAGCGGUUCUGACGUGCAAAUCGAUCGUCAAAUUUGGGUAUAGGGGCGAAAGACUAAUCGAACCAUCUAGUAGCUGGUUCCUGCCGA
This 909-nucleotide ribosomal RNA is filed under the name Penicillium citrinum. RNAcentral's name for it is "LSU rRNA". It matches the Rfam family "Eukaryotic large subunit ribosomal RNA", at positions 37 to 964 of the family's 3401-position model. The record is from RNAcentral. Lineage: Eukaryota; Fungi; Ascomycota; Eurotiomycetes; Eurotiales; Aspergillaceae.